GCAGGUAUGGCGGAAUUGGCAGACGCGCACGGUUCAGGUCCGUGUGAAGGUUACUUCAUGGAGGUUCGAGUCCUCUUACCUGCACCA
Molecule: transfer RNA, 87 nt
Filed under: Bacillota bacterium
Lineage: Bacteria; Bacillati; Bacillota
Description: tRNA-Leu
Rfam family: tRNA
About the family: Transfer RNA (tRNA) molecules are approximately 80 nucleotides in length. Their secondary structure includes four short double-helical elements and three loops (D, anti-codon, and T loops). Further hydrogen bonds mediate the characteristic L-shaped molecular structure. tRNAs have two regions of fundamental functional importance: the anti-codon, which is responsible for specific mRNA codon recognition, and the 3' end, to which the tRNAs corresponding amino acid is attached (by aminoacyl-tRNA synthetases). tRNAs cope with the degeneracy of the genetic code in two manners: having more than one tRNA (with a specific anti-codon) for a particular amino acid; and 'wobble' base-pairing, i.e. permitting non-standard base-pairing at the 3rd anti-codon position.
Source: RNAcentral